CGUGUAUCUAAUUUUUAUACGACAAUUAUUUACUUAUAAAGAUAUUUUUCGCUGGUAUUUACUGAUUGUCAAAGUCAUGUGAUUUGCUAUGGUGGAGUUGACCAGUGCGUUGAAAAAACGUCACUCGGUCAUUUUAAAAUUCAAAUUACAGUAACACAUUGCUCAGACUGAGGAUGUCAUGACAAUCAUGAAACCUUCAAAGCGACACAGGAUUGAGGAAGAACGUAUUGACUACUAUUUCACUAUUCCACCAAACAGAAAGUAAUAGUAAAUACUCUAUAGACU
This 285-nucleotide long non-coding RNA is filed under the name Mytilus galloprovincialis (Mediterranean mussel). Lineage: Eukaryota; Metazoa; Mollusca; Bivalvia; Mytilida; Mytilidae. The record is from RNAcentral.